AGUGAACGCUGGCGGUAGGCCUAACACAUGCAAGUCGAACGGCAGCACAGCAGUAGCAAUACUGUGGGUGGCGAGUGGCGGACGGGUGAGGAAUACAUCGGAAUCUACCUUUUCGUGGGGGAUAACGUAGGGAAACUUACGCUAAUACCGCAUACGACCUACGGGUGAAAGUGGGGGACCGCAAGGCCUCACGCGAUUAG
This 200-nucleotide ribosomal RNA is filed under the name uncultured bacterium. Its description in RNAcentral is "partial 16S ribosomal RNA". It matches the Rfam family "Bacterial small subunit ribosomal RNA", at positions 29 to 224 of the family's 1533-position model. The record is from RNAcentral.